GGCAAUUGUGUACUAUCUGUGAUCUUGCAGUGGUUGGGGCAGAUGCUUCAGGGUUGCUCUGUUCUCCUUCACAGAUACGAUGAUCAAGUUGCUGAAGUUGGAUCUACUUUUUAACUUUAUCUUGCUGACCUCUUUUAGCUGCAGAAACCUGCCUGGGUUGAUCGAUUCAUAUCUGUGUGUGAAAGGUCAGAUUACUGAAGAGGAGUUGCGAACCAAAUUAAUUUUUUGUGCUAUUUCCUUUUAUUUGCUUUUUGUUUAAUUCCUCUUAAUAGUUCAUAAUGAUUUUCAAUGUAAGAAUAAAUUUGGAAUUUUCGUUAUCAGGCUUUUCUUGUCUGUUGAUGUCUAUAGACAAGUAUAUUCAUAGGUGCCUUGUUAAUUAAAUGAUGUCAUAGGUAGCACUUACAUAUCGAUUUUAUGCAUAUGUGAUUUCAGAAACUUGCUUUUUGCCAAUUAUUCGAUCUCGGGACUUUUGAAUUGGGGCCCUUCUUGGGCAGUGGAAGUUGAUUCUUUUUCCAAUUCAAAUAGUCAUAAGAGAUUUGUGGAGAUAUAUUUGCAUUAAAAUGGAUAUGUUGAGAUAUACUUAGUGCAACGAAAGUUAAUAUAAGAUUCAAUUAUAAAUUUUAAAUACAAAUUUUAUCAAUUAGUUAAAUAGUAACAAUUUUUAAAAAUAAGUUCUUUAAAGGUCGGUGAUUUACAUUUUACUUUUUAAAAAAAAAAAAAUCGUCGUGGAAUGAAAAUAUUUUCUUUGAGUCGCAGCCGCAAAUAACUUGGUUACGGCAGCGGCCUUUAACCUCUGAAAUGGUAGCAUCUUUUGCGUCCUCAAAACGUCGUCGUUAAAUAAAAAGUGGGAAGGAAGGCACUUGAAAGAAAAGUCUGUACAUCACAAACAUAGUUCCAGUACUUGAAAAAAAAAGACUCAGAUCCUUAAAAAAGAGAAUCGAAAACUCUCUCCUCUCUAUUCAUAUAAAGCGAAAGAUGGAAAGGCGCUUCCGUUUUCGUUUGUAAUUUUAGAUGCUACAUCAGAUCUGAGGUAAUUUUUCUUAGUUUCAUGCCCAUAACUUCGAUCUUCCUUAUCUCUAUGCUUGGUUCCCAAAUCCAAAUCUCCCUGUUUGGUUACGACGAUUAUUUUAUUUAGACGUUGGAUUUGGUUUUGCUUUGUAGAAAAUUGGCGGUCGAAGAGAAAGAAGAAGAAAAACGAGAAGGGGGAGAAGAUGUUGACAAAGUUUGAGACGAAGAGUAAUAGAGUAAAGGGACUGAGUUUCCACGCUAAGAGGCCAUGGAUCUUAGCCAGUCUCCACAGUGGCGUUAUCCAGUUAUGGGACUAUCGUAUGGGUACUCUGAUUGAUCGAUUCGACGAACACGAUGGCCCCGUUCGCGGCGUCCAUUUCCACAUGUCUCAGCCUUUGUUCGUCUCUGGAGGUUGGGAUUUCAUUUAUUUUCGCUCAAUUUUAUCUGUGCUUAGUAAAUCUUGUUGAUUGUUUUGGUGAUCUAAGGAAUUGGAUGUGAAGUUGUUAUUUGUGCUGAUUAAUUAGGAUUGGAUUAGCUUAACUUGUGGAGCUCUUUUAUUCUUGUGACUAUGAAAUUUGAGAAAAUCUGAUGCGUAUGAUAAUACUGGAUCUAGAUUUACUACAGUGAUUUCAUGUAGUCAGCCUUAGUUUACUCCUUCUAGAUCUGACGUUCUCGAGAAAAUGAAUGCCAAUCCAACCAUAGACUGAAUUAUAUAGGCUAUAGUAUAUACGUUCAUAUCUGCAUGAACACAUAUAUUUAUAUACAUUUAUUCAGUGGUUUUUCGUAUACUGCUUGCAAUGUAUAGAUCUAUUUAUAUUGUUUUGAUGUCUUUUUUUUAAACUAUAAAUUUAAAGGGUUUUGAUCAUGGAGAUUCUUAAAACAAUAAGUUUGAGUACAAAUGAGUGUGAAUUGGUUAUAACUAUUUAGGAUUUAAUGCACUUAAAUUUUGUACGUACAAAUGGAAUAUAUUAAAUUUAUUACAAUUUAAAUUCCAUUUUAACAGAAUCCUCAUUCACUCGUAUUAGUGAUUCUAUCAUUAGAUUUAGGAGAACAUAAAUAGAUUUAUAUAAGAAGGCGAAUCAAAAUUUACUUAUUUAUAAUUUAAAGUUAUUAAAGGAUAAUUUAGUAAUACAAAAAAUAUUAAUGUACUUUUGUUUGGCAGGCUACACUGCGUAAAAGAUAGGGGAAUAGCACUUUGUAGCACUUAUCCCUUUGUUUAAACUGAGAAAUAACUCGUUCAACUUGGCACCUUAAAUGUUAAACUACCAUCUGAAUAGAUCUAUUGCUGAAAAGGGAUGCCUUUGAGUGUAGUAAUUUGAAAAUUUUUAAAACUGGUCAACAUGGGCAAGGAAAGUCUGAAUUUGAAGUUUUUAUUAACUCAAAAAGUUACAUUUGUGCUAUGAUUUUCUUUUAAAAAGCAUAGGAUUCUUAUGCAAUACAAAUGAUACUAAAAAUGAUGGGAUUUUUCAGGGGAUGACUACAAGAUAAAGGUCUGGAACUACAAGUUGCAUAGAUGUCUUUUCACACUUCUUGGGCAUCUUGAUUAUAUUCGUACUGUGCAAUUUCAUCAUGAGCAUCCGUGGAUUGUGAGUGCCAGUGAUGAUCAGACUAUUCGCAUCUGGAACUGGCAGUCACGAACUUGCAUAUCUGUGUUGACUGGCCAUAAUCAUUAUGUUAUGUGUGCCUCAUUCCAUCCUAAAGAAGACCUCGUUGUAUCGGCCUCCCUUGAUCAGACUGUUCGGGUUUGGGAUAUUGGUUCCCUGAGAAAGAAGACUGUCUCCCCAGCGGAUGACAUUUUGCGGUUAAGUCAGAUGAACACAGAUCUUUUUGGUGGUGUUGACUCAGUUGUUAAGUAUGUGUUGGAAGGUCAUGACCGAGGAGUAAAUUGGGCUGCAUUUCACCCCACCUUACCGCUGAUUGUCUCUGGAGCAGAUGAUCGACAAGUGAAAUUGUGGCGUAUGAACGGUAAUUAUCGGAAACUGUGCCUUCUUCUCCAUUUAUAUUUCAUUUACUAGCGAUAUUGAUUAAUUUUUUUCUUAUGUAAAUACACUUAUUGGCCAAUUAAAAUCUUCAUAAGAACUUACCUAAUUAUCUUCUUUUUUUUUUUUUCUGAAAUUUGAUGUAUGCUAAAUGGCCCAUUAUAUAUGAGCCAAGCUACCUCAAAUCCUCCAUUAUAUUUAUGAUCUUGGCAGUGUAUAGGUGCGGAGCCCAAAGAGUGUCCUUGUACAACCUGCUAAAGUUGACAGAUCAAUUUUUUUUUUGCAGCAGAGAAUUCAGACCCCUGAAUUGUUGUGGGACUGAGUAAAUUGUUUAUUUGUUUGCAGAGACAAAGGCUUGGGAAGUGGAUACCUUGAGAGGGCACAUGAAUAACGUGUCAUGUGUUAUGUUUCAUGCCAAACAAGACAUCAUUGUGUCUAAUUCCGAGGAUAAAAGUAUUCGUGUGUGGGAUGUAACAAAGCGAACUGGACUUCAAACUUUCCGUCGAGAACAUGACAGAUUCUGGAUUCUUGCUGCCCAUCCUGAAAUGAAUCUUUUGGCUGCUGGACAUGACAGUGGCAUGAUUGUAUUUAAGCUAGAGAGAGAGCGUCCUGCUUUUGCAGUGAGUGGGGAUUCUCUCUUUUAUGCCAAAGACCGGUUUUUAAGAUAUUAUGAGUUUUCAACUCAAAGAGAGGCGCAAGUAAUUCCAAUUCGACGGCCUGGUUCCACAACGUUGAAUCAAAGUCCAAGGACUCUUUCUUACAGUCCUACAGAAAAUGCUGUUCUUAUCUGCUCAGAUGUUGAUGGAGGAUCUUAUGAGUUGUAUGUGAUACCAAAAGACAGCAUUGGUAGGGGUGACAGUUUGCAGGAGGCAAAGAGAGGUCUUGGGAGUUCUGCUAUAUUUGUGGCUCGAAACCGGUUUGCUGUGCUCGACAAAGGCAACAACCAAGUCUUAAUCAAGAAUCUAAAAAAUGAAGUAGUUAAAAAGAGUGGCCUCCCAGUGCCUACGGAUGCAAUAUUUUAUGCUGGAACAGGUAACUUGUUGUGUAGGUCAGAGGAUAGAGUAGUUAUAUUUGAUCUCCAGCAGAGGAUUGUUCUUGGUGAUCUUCAAACCCCCUUUGUGAAGUAUAUUGUUUGGUCUAAUGAUAUGGAAAGUGUUGCUUUGCUCAGCAAGCAUGCCAUUAUCAUUACUAACAAGAAGCUUGUGCACCAGUGCACUCUUCAUGAGACAAUACGUGUAAAAAGUGGAGGCUGGGAUGACAAUGGUGUUUUCAUUUACACCACCCUAAACCAUAUAAAAUACUGUCUUCCCAAUGGAGAUAGUGGAAUAAUUCGAACGCUUGAUGUUCCAAUAUACAUAACAAAGGUUUCAGGAAAUACUUUAUUUUGCCUGGAUCGUGAUGGGAAGAAUAGGACUAUAGUCAUUGAUGCUACAGAAUACAUUUUCAAGCUCUCUCUGCUUCGGAAGAGAUAUGAUCAUGUUAUGGGCAUGAUAAGAAACUCCAAGCUUUGCGGUGAGGCUAUGAUUGCUUAUCUCCAACAGAAGGGGUUCCCUGAAGUGGCUCUCCAUUUUGUCAAAGACGAGAAAACACGCUUUAAUUUGGCUCUAGAGAGUGGGAACAUUCAAAUUGCUGUUGCAUCAGCUAAGGAGAUAGAUGACAAAGAUCAUUGGUAUAGGUUGGGUGUGGAGGCUCUUCGCCAAGGCAAUGCAGGUAUAGUGGAAUAUGCUUAUCAGAAGACAAAAAACUUUGAGAGGUUGUCUUUUCUUUAUCUCAUAACCGGUAACCUGGAAAAGCUGUCCAAGAUGCUGAAAAUUGCAGAAGUUAAGAAUGAUGUUAUGGGUCAGUUUCACAAUGCUUUGUAUCUUGGUGAUAUCCAGGAACGUGUUAAAAUCCUGGAGAAUUCUGGUCACUUGCCUCUUGCUUACCUUACAGCAUCGGUCCAUGGGCUACAGGAUGUGGCUGAAAGGUUAGCAGCUGAGUUGGGAGAUGAUGUUCCUCCUCUGCCAGAGGGGAAAGAACCUUCCCUUUUGAUGCCUUCUGCCCCCGUUUUAUGUGGUGGUGAUUGGCCCCUUCUGAGAGUCAUGAAAGGCAUAUUUGAAGGUGGAUUGGAUAGUGAUAUUGGCAGGGGUGCUGUGGAUGAAGAGGAGGAGGGUGUAGAAGGUGAUUGGGGUGAAGAUCUUGAUGUGGUUGAUGUUGAUGGCUUACAGAAUGGUGACAUCACUGCAAUUUUGGAGGAUGGGGAAGUGGCUGAAGAAAAUGAAGAAGAGGGUGGAUGGGACCUUGAAGAUUUGGAACUUCCCCCUGAGGCAGACACCCCAAAGGUUUCUGGGAAUGCUCGGUCAUCUGUUUUUGUGGCACCUACUCCAGGUAUGCCUGUAAAUCAGAUUUGGAUUCAGAGAUCAUCUCUUGCUGCUGAGCAUGCAGCAGCUGGCAAUUUUGAUACAGCAAUGCGAUUGCUUAGCAGGCAACUUGGCAUUAGAAACUUUGCCCCUUUGAAGUCGAUGUUUCUUGAUCUUAACACUGGUAGCCAUAGCUAUCUCCGUGCAUUUGCAUCUGCACCAGUGGUGUCACUGGCAGUUGAGCGUGGAUGGAACGAAUCUGCUAGUCCUAAUGUGAGGGGUCCACCAGCACUUGUGUUCAAUUCCUCUCAAUUGGAUGAAAAGGUGAAUGCGGGUUACAAGGCCACAACAGCUGGGAAAUUCACUGAAGCUCUUCGGCUUUUCCUCAACAUUCUUCAUACAAUUCCAUUGAUUGUUGUGGAGUCAAGGAGGGAAGUUGACGAAGUCAAGGAAUUGAUUAUUAUUGCUAAGGAGUAUGUUCUUGGUCUACAGAUGGAGCUUAGGAGGAAAGAAAUGAAAGACAAUCCAGUACGCCAGCAGGAGCUUGCUGCCUACUUCACCCACUGCAACCUUCGGACACCUCACUUAAGGCUUGCUUUGCAAAAUGCAAUGUCUGUAUGCUUCAAGGCAAAGAACAUGGCCACAGCAGCUAACUUUGGCAGACGUCUACUAGAAACAAACCCCACAAAUGAGAAUCAAGCAAAGACUGCAAGGCAAGUGCUUCAAGCUGCUGAGAGGAAUAUGACAGAUGCCUCUCAGCUGAACUAUGAUUUCAGAAACCCAUUUGUGGUAUGUGGGGCAACUCAUGUGCCAAUUUACAGAGGACAGAAAGAUGUAUCUUGCCCAUAUUGCACUACACGCUUCGUUCCUAGCCAGGAAGGGCAAUUGUGUACUAUCUGUGAUCUUGCAGUGGUUGGGGCAGAUGCUUCAGGGUUGCUCUGUUCUCCUUCACAGAUACGAUGAUCAAGUUGCUGAAGUUGGAUCUACUUUUCAACUUUAUCUUGCUGACCUCUUUUAGCUGCAGAAACCUGCCUGGGUUGAUCGAUUCAUAUCUGUGUGUGAAAGGUCAGAUUACUGAAGAGGAGUUGCAAACCAAAUUAAUUUUUUGUGCUAUUUCCUUUUAUUUGCUUUUUGUUUAAUUCCUCUUAAUAGUUCAUAAUUAUUUUCAAUGUAAGAAUAAAUUUGGAGUUUUUCGUUAUCAGGC
RNAcentral lists this long non-coding RNA (6530 nucleotides) under Theobroma cacao (cacao). RNAcentral describes it as "long non-coding RNA (TCAC_LNC000732)". The record is from RNAcentral. Lineage: Eukaryota; Viridiplantae; Streptophyta; Magnoliopsida; Malvales; Malvaceae.